GUUACUGUCAGCACUGUCGGCUCAACCGCCGACUCCGAUGGGCAAGCAGGAAGCCGGUGCGAAUCCGGCGCGGUCCCGCCACGGUGACCGGGUGACAACCCGGAAGUCCGAUACUGCCCCCACCGGACAAUCUGC
This 135-nucleotide non-coding RNA is filed under the name Mycobacterium sp. Lineage: Bacteria; Bacillati; Actinomycetota; Actinomycetes; Mycobacteriales; Mycobacteriaceae. The record is from RNAcentral.